AGAACGAACGCUGGCGGCAGGCCUCAAACAUGCAAGUCUAGGGGGUGUAGCAAUACAUCACCGGCGGACGGGUGCGUAACACGUGGGAAUAUACCUUUUGGUUCGGAACAACGCAGGGAAACUUGCGCUAAUGCCGAAUGUGCCCUUACGGGGAAAGAUUUAUCGCCAAAGGAUUAGCCCGCGUCCGAUUAGCUAGUUGGUGAGGUAACGGCUCACCAAGGCUCCGAUCGGUAGCUGUUCUGAGAGGAAGAUCAGCCACACUGGGACUGAGACACGGCCCAGACUCCUACGGGAGGCAGCAGUUGGGAAUCUUGGACAAUGGGGGAAACCCUGAUCCAGCCAUGCCGCGUGAGUGAUGAAGGCCUUCGGGUUGUAAAACUCUUUCGACGGGGACGAUAAUGACGGUACCCGUAGAAGAAGCUCCGGCUAACUUCGCGCCAGCAGCCGC
This 448-nucleotide ribosomal RNA is filed under the name uncultured bacterium. RNAcentral describes it as "SSU rRNA". It matches the Rfam family "Bacterial small subunit ribosomal RNA", at positions 26 to 518 of the family's 1533-position model. The record is from RNAcentral.